UGGGGAAUAUUGGACAAUGGGGGAAACCCUGAUCCAGCAAUACCGCGUGAGUGAUGAAGGUUUUCGGAUCGUAAAGCUCUGUCAGAAGGAACGAAAAUGUUUGGGUUAAUACCCCAAGAACUUGACGGUACCUUCAAAGGAAGCACCGGCUAACUUCGUGCCAGCAGCCGCGGUAAUACGAAGGGUGCAAACGUUGUUCGGAAUUACUGGGCGUAAAGCGUACGUAGGUGGUUAUGUAUGUCUGGUGUGAAAGCCCUCGGCUCAACCGGGGAACUGCGCUGGAAACUACAUAACUAGAGAUCGAGAGAGGUAAGCGGAAUUCUAAGUGUAGAGGUGAAAUUCGUAGAUACUUGGAGGAACACCAGAGGCGAAGGCGGCUUACUGGCUCGAUACUGACACUGAGGUACGAAAGCGUGGGUAGCAAACA
Molecule: ribosomal RNA, 427 nt
Filed under: uncultured bacterium
Lineage: Bacteria
Description: bacterial SSU rRNA
Rfam family: Bacterial small subunit ribosomal RNA
Source: RNAcentral